Long non-coding RNA from Rosa rugosa (rugosa rose), 1584 nucleotides. RefSeq lists it as uncharacterized. The transcript is spliced from 5 exons. The record is from RefSeq and is a predicted model, not a curated record. Lineage: Eukaryota; Viridiplantae; Streptophyta; Magnoliopsida; Rosales; Rosaceae.
CUCUCCUCUCUCGGUCGCAUCUCUCUCUUUCUUCCCCGACCUCACUCUCUCUGCCAGCGCCGGAAACUCCAUUUCCGGGUACCCGCUCUUGUCACCACAACCACCAAUCGAUCCAGCAUCCAAAUCUGACCCAAGCCUGAACCUUAUCGUCGACAUGCAUCGCCGCCAGCCUCCGCGCGCGACAACCCAAGGCUGCGACGCCACUGUUGCUCGACCUUCAUCGAUUUCCAACCAUCACCUCGCCACAACGACGCCACCUCCUGACUCAGCAAGCAACGAGGAGCAAAACCAAGAAGUUUCGCCACCCACCCAAGCCGGAAAACGACGUACGAGUUUCGCCGGAACACGGGGCCUUGCAUGUCGUCGUUUUUCAAUUUCCAGCCAUGCCUGGGCUACCCGACCACCAUGGAUGUAGUAAGCGCCUAAAUGUCUAGAAUAGCCCCUUACCUAGACCUCUGAUUUCGACCGGAGCCACCCAGCACCGCUGUGAGAGCCACCGGCUUACCUUUUUCGUCUGGUAAGCUAUAUUUCGUCCUCUCCCUUUGGAUAAUGCCAUUAGUCCUUGUGAAUCGAAAAGCCUAAUUCACUGCUCUCGGAUUUGGAAUGUGAGGUUUGUGGAAUCUGGAAAAUUGAAGCUUUGGAGAAGAAAUGAGCUACUGGGUCAGUUUCGAAUCGAAUUAAGGAAUUCAGAUGGUUAAUGGAUGUGGAUUUCUGCGUUUUUGGAGUUUUGGAAGAGAGGAGCUGCUGGGCCAGUUAAGUUGAUGUUGAGGAAUUGGAUCUGAAAGGUUGUUGGUGGUGGAACUGCAACUACGACGAAACUGGUUUCUGUUUUGGAAAAGAAGAAUGGACCCGAGCGUGUGCACUUGGAUUUGGAUAAAGGAUCGAAAGUCGGGAAUGAACCCAAAUGUAGACGAGCACUCUAAUUCCAGGUAGGGUGAGCUGUCCCUUCCUUGUUAGAGGCUUUUCUAUAUGUGGAAUGCUCUAGUAUAUUAAUAUGUUGCCUGCAAGUACGUUUUUGGUUGUUCAUUGGUCGAUGCCUCAUGAUAUCCGUGUUUCCAUAACUGAAAAUUGCUUAUUGUGAAAACCGAGGCUAGACUUGCAUGUUGAGAUACUAUACCCUUUGUAUGUUUGUACUUGUGACCUGAAAGUGAAUGGGACCUAGACGCGUAGAUUCCUAGGGAUCCCACGAUGUCGAUAACCGUGAACCUCCGGAGGGGGCCGUGCUCCUAUGUUUGUCGAGGAAGAGUGAGUACAGACAGUGAACCAAUCAUAGGAGACUCAGGGCCAGGAAAUGGACACUUUCGCUACUUGUAGUUACAAGGACUACAGAGUAGUUGGCCGGUUCUCGAAGGAUGACGAACCAGGUCGGUCACCGAUUUGUUUGAGUUUAGCAGGCAGGUAAGUAUCUCGGAGCUCCAAAUUGUGUGAAGCAUACUGCAUAUGCUUUAUAAAAGAAAUAAAUGUUUGUGGUUGCCUCUUUUUAAAGUAUUUUUGAUAAACGUGCACAAUAUUAUGUAGUAUUUUCGAUUAUUAUUACUAUCUUUCAAACCUAGCAUGGUUGGGUCGGCCCCUACUGGGCAUGCG